CAUGGGUGGGGCGAGGGUAAGACGGGCAGGUGGAGGAGAAGCUACAGGCUGCAGACAGUCAGAGGGGAGGAGGAGGAGGAGGAGGUGUGAAGAGGCAGAGGGGGAGGUAAGAGCUGAGGUGCGGCAUCCGGAAGAGUCUGUUUUAGUUGAUUUUGGUUCUGUAAAGUCACAAAAAAAUAUGUUGAACAUCUGGAGUCUGGUACAGCGAGGCAAGGGGAGCGAGGGGCCGCCGGAGAGCACGGGAGGGGAGGUCCUGAAGAAGACUAAUACCCCUGGAAGGAAGGAAAGAAGGAAACAAAGAUAGAAACACAAGUCAGUGGUGGAAAGUAGCCAAGUGCAUUUAAACUGCUAAGAGGGAAACUCCAGUAUUUUCAAACCUGGGCCCAAUAUUGAUAUGUUUCGGUGUGUAAAUGAUUCGUGUUUAGCAAAAGUUUUGGAAUCGGUACUCCAGAUUGCCAAAGAUGGCUGAAAUGUAAUCAUUUGGUGCAGUGCCGGCCCUGAGUAAUUUGGUGCCCUAGGCAAGAUCUUAGCCGGUGCCUUCUUGCAUUGCAGGCAAUUUCACAAUCAAUUUUCAUACACUCACACAGAAACUGGAUGUAUGAAUUCAAAAUUGUAUUUCUUUUAAGUCAAAAAUAUCACACCAAAUAAGGAAAGAAACAAGUGAUAAAAAUACAAUAUAAAUAAGGCAUUACGCAAACAUUUUAUCUCUCAGCCUCAGAGUGCCAUCUCUCUCUUAUCUAUUGUCAGCCGCUUUGCAAAACGACCUCCAGCUCCGACCAUGUUGCCAUGUGGGUAUUGUGCUCCCGGCUAUCUUCAUGAACCUUCAGAAAGUGGCUUGCAUUUUUCCAGUCCUUUAGUCCUUCCUUAAUAAGUCUGUAUACUUUUGGAGAAAACAUUUAGCCGCAGAAGCAGUGCAAGCUACUGGGGCAACUGUGAGCGACGAGGGUACGUCCACUCAAAGUGCAGGCUGAGUUCUUUAUCCCAAGACAUUACAGAAACGAUCCCUACAGAAAGAAACCUUUUUUUGUCAAGUAGUGAGAUCCAAUUUGUGACCAGAAAGGUCUCCUUCUGGAUUCUCGACAGCGGAGUUGCUGCAGGAAGACGACAGAGAUGAGUUUGGAGUUUACGUUGAGAAACUGCGAGCAGUAAAUUAUUCUCAAACUCAUGGCUGAAUGCUUAAAGGAGCUCGUCUCCUUUAACAAGACUUGUGUUUCUUGUCACAAAAAGGAUAUUAUUAUUAAGAAAAAAGGUCUCUCUCUGUAGGAAUCAUUUCCAAAUUACAAGCAGGAGAAGUUACGCGAACGGUCGCAGUUGCCCCAAAGGAUUUCAUUGCAGCAGUAUCGACUCAGAUCGACUGGACUGAUAGAAACCUUUUGCUUCUUAUGAAUAUUUUAAAUAAAACAUGUACCUAUUGGGCCCAGGUUUAAAAAUACUGGAAUUCCCCUGAAAGUACAAUUUCGAGGUACAUUUUAUGCUGCUAUGUACUUCUACUGUGUGGUUGAAGUAAUCCGACCAUUUAGAGUAGAAGUAGUACACUUUAAAAACCAGUGUUUUACUAUGACAUGAUGUUUAACCUUGCCUAGAAGCAACGGUAAAAGGCUUCUUACACACUAAAGCAUCAGUAUCAACAAUCUAAUAAUGUCACACAGAGUAAAAUAUGGGACAUAUUUAUCAAAAUGCUUUUACGUUAAGGUUUUGGUGCUUUCACUUAUGUAAAGCCUCCGAAGGGUUAGGCAGCAAACUGUACGCUAAAAUCAAAAGUGAAAGCACUCCUCAGAACAAUGGUCCCUGUCAGAAAGUUAAGGCGUUGCCCAUUACCUGGGAACCUGUUUACUCACCUCUCCUCCUUCCCCACCCUGUUCCAUUCCUCCAUAUUCGCCCUGUCAGAGGAAAUGAGAAGAACAAAUCAGUCUCAAAUAAACACAAACAGGUGGAGCAGGUUUGUCUGAGAUGGUAAAAGGAUGAGGUGAUGGCAGGGUGGAGGGCCUCAAGCACCAAUCUCCUUCUAGCUUUGACUUUCCUCCAGCUCUGAUAUAACAAAGCGUUAAGACUACAGUGACCAUGCUUUCGGGUCAAGUUGACUCUUGCCAUCAUGCUUCAGAUGUUCCCCGGGGGUCUGUUAGUCAGAUUAAAGCAUCACAGCAUGUUAAGAGGCUCCUAGUGCAUGCCAUGAAUACAUUAACUGCUUUAUCUUGCGUGCUGGAGAUGCGGCUGAGAGCGUAAGUGUCGCUUAACGCUACACGGAGGAGCUACAUGGUUAGAAAUGGGAGAAUUUUUAGUAUUAUCAACCUUAAUCACACAAAUGAGCGAGCGUCUAAGAGGUCGGGGGGAAUCAGUUUGCUCUAUUCAGAGGAAGAAACUGUGAAUUAGUGCUUGAUUAAGUUUGAUUCAAUGGAAGCUUUUAUUGUUGGCUGCCAAACGUGGCAGUAAUUCAGCCAAACGUGUCUGCAAACCACAGAUUUGUUCACAUUUGUACGUGCAAUAUUGACAUUUUUAGAAAAAUUUUCAUUAUUUUUUUGAUGUUACAUGUUUAUGACCUGACUGUGAAAUCAGGAGGUGGAGAGGACGAUGGCCGGGUUUGCCGGCGAGGAAGCUGCCAAGCCACUGACCACAGUUCAAGACCAUGUUUCAACUUCUCUUAGGAGGAAAACCACUGGAUAUUUUUAAGGUGACCUCCGGACAAUUUGUAGCCGUGUUUGUGGUGACCAAAACACAUUUUCCUCACACUAACAGAGUGUUAUUUGUGCCUAAACCUGAUCUGAUAUUGUCAGCAAAGUGCUGUCGCAAAAUUAUGUAGAAAACUGAACCUCAAGAAAUAUAAAGUUGACUUUUACACUUUAUGGAAAUUUCAUGGUAGUAGGUGGUAAUUACGACACAACAGAUUUUAAAUUUUCGUUGAAAUUACCCCAAAAUUACUACAAUAAUAAGAAAAAAAUGUAUAGAAAAUUACCUCCAUAUAUUUCGAUAAUGAUAUUCUAUUAAGCUGCACCAAAUCACUUCACGUUAGUGGCCUUCUGAGGGGAAGUUGGAGGGAAACUAGUUGGAAGUUAAACUGUGACAUCUAACUAUAGUUUAGUGGCCUGCUGAGGGGAAGUUGGACGGAAACUAGUUGGAUGUUAAAUUGUCUCACUUUAGUUUAGUGGCCUGCUGAGGGUAAGUUGGACAGAAACUAGUUGAAAGUUAAACUGUCUCACUUUAGCUUAGUGGCCUGCUGAGGGGAAGUUGGACGGAAAGUAGUUGGAAGUUAAACUGUGACAUCUCACUUUAGUUUAGUGGCCUGCUAAAGGGGAAGUUGGACGGAAACUAGUUGGAUGUUAAAUUGUCUCACUUAAGUUUUGUUGCCUGCUGAGGGGAAGUGAGACACAAACUAGUUGGAAGUUAAAGUGUCUGAACUAGUUCAGUGGCCUGCUGAGGGGGAGUUGGGUGGAAACUAGUUGGAUGUUAAACUGUCUCACUUUAGUUUAGUGGCCUGCUGAGGGGAAGUGAGACACAAACUAGUGGGAAGUUAAAGUGUCUGA
Molecule: long non-coding RNA, 3518 nt
Filed under: Sparus aurata (gilthead seabream)
Lineage: Eukaryota; Metazoa; Chordata; Actinopteri; Spariformes; Sparidae
Description: lncRNA (ENSSAUG00010026865.1)
Source: RNAcentral